ACGGUACCUGCAGAAGAAGCACCGGCUAACUACGUGCCAGCAGCCGCGGUAAUACGUAGGGUGCGAGCGUUAAUCGGAAUUACUGGGCGUAAAGCGUGCGCAGGCGGCGGCAUAAGACAGAUGUGAAAUCCCCGGGCUCAACCUGGGAACUGCGUUUGUGACUGUGCUGCUAGAGUGUAGCAGAGGGGGGUGGAAUUCCACGUGUAGCAGUGAAAUGCGUAGAGAUGUGGAGGAACACCGAUGGCGAAGGCAGCCCCCUGGGUUAACACUGACGCUCAUGCACGAAAGCGUGGGGAGCAAACAGGAUUAGAUACCCUGGUAGUCCACGCCCUAAACGAUGCCAACUAGGUGUUGGGGGAGGAGACUUCCUUAGUACCGUAGCUAACGCGUGAAGUUGGCCGCCUGGGGAGUACGGUUGCAAGAUUAAAACUCAAAGGAAUUGACGGGGACCCGCACAAGCGGUGGAUGAUGUGGAUUAAUUCGAUGCAACGCGAAAAACCUUACCUACCCUUGACAUGUCCGGAAUCCUGAAGAGAUUUGGGAGUGCUCGCAAG
Molecule: ribosomal RNA, 554 nt
Filed under: uncultured bacterium
Lineage: Bacteria
Description: bacterial SSU rRNA
Rfam family: Bacterial small subunit ribosomal RNA
Source: RNAcentral